AAUAUUGCACAUUGGAGGAAACUCUGAUGCAGCGACGCCGCGUGAGUGAAGAAGGUCUUCGGAUCGUAAAACUCUGUCCUUGGUGAAGAUAAUGAAGGUAGACAACGAGGAAGCACUGGCUAACUACGUGCCAGCAGCCGCGGUAAUACGUAGGGGGCUAGCGUUGUCCGGAUUUACUGGGCGUAAAGGGUGAGUAGGCGGUUGCAUAAGUCAGAUGUAAAAGGCUAAGGCUUAACCAUAGUAUGCAUUUGAAACUGUGGGACUUGAGUACAGGAGAGGUAAGUGGAAUUCCUAGUGUAGCGGUGAAAUGCGUAGAUAUUAGGAGGAACACCAGUGGCGAAGGCGGCUUACUGGACUGUAACUGACGCUGAGUCACGAAAGCGUGGGUAGCAAACAGG
RNAcentral lists this ribosomal RNA (398 nucleotides) under uncultured bacterium. Its description in RNAcentral is "partial 16S ribosomal RNA". It matches the Rfam family "Bacterial small subunit ribosomal RNA", at positions 360 to 776 of the family's 1533-position model. The record is from RNAcentral.